GAUGAAGAACGUAGCGAAAUGCGAUAAGUAGUGUGAAUUGCAGAAUUCAGUGAAUCAUCGAAUCUUUGAACGCACAUUGCGCCCGCCAGUAUUCUGGCGGGCAUGCCUGUCCGAGCGUCAUUUCAACCCUCAAGCCCCCGGGCUUGGUGUUGGAGAUCGGCGAGCCCCCCGGGGCGCGCCGUCUCCCAAAUAUAGUGGCGGUCCCGCUGUAGCUUCCUCUGCGUAGUAGCACACCUCGCACUGGGAAACAGCGUGGCCACGCCGUAAAACCCCCCACUUCUGAAAGGUUGACCUCGGAUCAGGUAGGAAUACCCGCUGAACUUAAGCAUAUCAAUAAGCGGAGGA
Molecule: unclassified non-coding RNA, 345 nt
Filed under: soil metagenome
Description: partial contains 5.8S ribosomal RNA, internal transcribed spacer 2, and large subunit ribosomal RNA
Rfam family: 5.8S ribosomal RNA (bases 1-120)
Source: RNAcentral